UGAUACUGCGCCCAUGGUGAUUGAUUGUUCCGUAAUCAUAAACUAAUGUCGUGAUCCUAUCAGUUGGGGGUUCACUCGUUUCUAUGUUACUCAAUGAUAUUAACAUUGAAUCGGAUGUUGUUUGCAGCUUUGUUGGGGAGAGCAUGCAUGAUGAUGGCGGUUUGGUCUUUGCGUACUACAAGGAGGGCGCGACCGACCCAACAUUUAUCUACUUUGGUCAUGGUUUGAAGGAGGUCAAGUGCUAAGCAAUUGGCCGAGAGAGUUCCAAGCAGAAUGCAUGUUGUAAUCCUAGUCUAUAUUAUUGCUUUCUUUACUUUUUAUGUUUAGAAUUGGAGGAUGAGGAGUCUAUUUUUGCUUUGUUUCGUUAGAAUAUUGCGCGUUUGUUGACUUGGAUUUAUGCCUAUCUUGGUUUUAAUGGCUUUUCAACUUGGAUUUCUAAUUUAUGUGGUUCUAAAUUUUGAUUGCGAAAUAACAUUGUGUUCUACAUUUUACCGCCUUCAAGUCGCUUUCGUAUGCCGUCAAACAGUUGAAGGUGUGAAUAGUUGGAACUGGUAAUAGUUCUAGUU
RNAcentral lists this long non-coding RNA (566 nucleotides) under Malus domestica (apple). RNAcentral's name for it is "long non-coding RNA (MDOM_LNC011970)". Lineage: Eukaryota; Viridiplantae; Streptophyta; Magnoliopsida; Rosales; Rosaceae. The record is from RNAcentral.